GGUAGAAUGACUGAUAAAAGUGAUAAACUGUAAAUUUAUUUAUGAGAAUUUCUCUUCU
RNAcentral lists this transfer RNA (58 nucleotides) under Glyphocassis sp. N62. RNAcentral describes it as "tRNA-Tyr". Lineage: Eukaryota; Metazoa; Arthropoda; Insecta; Coleoptera; Chrysomelidae. The record is from RNAcentral.